UACGUAGGUGGCAAGCGUUGUCCGGAUUUACUGGGCGUAAAGGAUGCGUAGGCGGACAUUUAAGUCAGAUGUGAAAUACCCGAGCUUAACUUGGGUGCUGCAUUUGAAACUGGGUGUCUAGAGUGCAGGAGAGGUAAGUGGAAUUCCUAGUGUAGCGGUGAAAUGCGUAGAGAUUAGGAAGAACACCAGUGGGCGAAGGCGGCCAGCUGGGCC
Molecule: ribosomal RNA, 213 nt
Filed under: uncultured bacterium
Lineage: Bacteria
Description: partial 16S ribosomal RNA
Rfam family: Bacterial small subunit ribosomal RNA
Source: RNAcentral